GUUUCAGAUAGGCAUGAACCUCCUCUGGAGAGAACAUCUUUGAAAUGUUCUCCCUUUCACUGCUGUUGCAGUAUCCUGUUUUGGAUUCUAGACAAUAAAGGAACAACACUGGUUUUAAAUAUUUCAUUCCCCAGAAGGUUCAUACAAGCACAGGGUGUGCAAAGCUGAGGCCCUGUGUGUGGCCCUGCCCACAGCUGCUGUUUAAGUACUCCAUGCUUGCAUGACAAGAGCAGAAUACCAGUGCGUGUUUAGAAAGAAGUCUUUCCAGGAGAAAAAUUGGUUCUUAGUGGGCAGAAACAGAUGUGGAUGACUUUGAAAACUGGCAAAGGGACAGUGAAUUGGACUCUGCAACAGGAAUGGGAUGCAGAACAGUGCAACAGAGUGUCCUGCAGCAAAACGAGACGGACCUUCAUGCAGUGUCAGCUCCAGCACUGGUGAGGACUGUUUGCAUUCAGAGAAGCAAUAUUCAACAUUUGUUGUUUCAAUACCUGAAGUUGUGACCACUGAAAACUUGGAGGAGCUGCUUCAUUGAGCACGGAGCUCGUGACGAGAGGCCUGAAAGCAGGAAUUCAGAGCUCCUACUAACAAAUGGAAAAGAAACUUUGGAGUGUGGACCUAAGUAAUAGAAUCAUCAAAUCAUUUAGUUUGGAAAAGACCACUGAGAUCAUCUAGUCCAACCAUCAACCCAUCCCCACCAUGGCCACUAACCAUGUCCCUCAGUGCUACAUCUACACAUUCCUUGAACACCUCCAGGAAGUGACUUCACCACCUCCCUGGGCAGCCUGUGCCAAUGCAUCACCACUCCUGAGAAGAAAAUUUUCAUAAUAUCCAACCUGAACCUCCCCUGGCACAAUGUAAGGCCAUUCUGUCUUGACUUAUUGCUGUAACCUGGGAGAAGAGGCUGACCCUCACCCCAUCACAACCUCCCUUCAGGAAGUUGUAGAGAGUAAUAAUGUCUCUCCUGAGACUCUAGUCAUGGGUAGGACAACCCAACCUACAAAGAUAAAAGUGAACAUCACAAUUAUUUACAAUAUUUACAAUGACUUUAGACAGAAAUCUGAGUCAAAUCAACCCAUGGAAUUGCUUUGCUUCUAAAACUUAAUAUACAUUACAGUUAAACCACAAUAGUAAAAUCCCCACUAAACAUGAGGAAAGGGAAAUGGCAAGCUGACUGCAGUAAGAUGUAAAAGCUUGUCUGAACUCAGAUGUGCCCUAUGUGGUUCCUGGACACAGGGCAGUUUCCAUGAAAUGCCCCACAUCUGACCCUUGGACAAAAUGUCACCUCAUCUAAUCUGUCUGGUGGGACCAAGCCCAGACUGUGCUAACCCCCUAGAUGUGCCUAAAGAUGGGUUGAGAGAAGAACUCUGAGUGCCUGUAUCUAGGAACACUCCUUCAAAGUGUUUAAUUUCCUAGAAUUGUAAAGUCAUUUGAGCUGGAAGGGACCCUUAAAGACCAUCUAGUCCAAGUCCCCUGCAAUGAACAGGGACACUUACAGCUAGAUCAGGUGCUCAGAGCCCCAUCCAGCCUGACCUUGAAUGUCUCCAGAGACAGAGCAUCCAUCACCUCUCCAGGCAACUUUUGCCACUGCCUCGCCACUCUUGUUAUAAGAAAACUUUUUCCUUAUAUCCAAUCGAAACCUCCCCUCUUCUAGUUUGAAACCAUUUCCCUUUGUUCUGUCACAGCAGACCCUGCUAAAGAGUCUGUCCCCUUCUUUCUUACAGAUCCCCUUUAGAUAUUGAAAGGCCACUCUCAAAUAUCCACAAAGAGAGGGGAAACUUUCUCCUCUCCAGGCUGAACAGCCCCAGCUCUCUCGGUCUGUCCUCAUAGGAGAGGUGUUCCAUCUCCAGGAUCACUGUUGUGGCCAUCCUCUGGAUGUGCUCCAACAGGUCUGUGUCUCUCUUGUACUGUGGACUGCACAUCUGGAUGCAGUACUCCAGGUGAAGUCUUACCAACACAGAGCAGAGAGGAAAAUUUCUAGUCUUCACAUAUUGUAAGUAUUAAUAAGGGAAUUUCCUAGUAUUAGCACAACAAAAGAGGAAAUAUUAAAAUAAUAGCUGAUUAUGUGUGUGUAUGGGUAAUGCAGUCAUGAAAAACCCUUCAAGUCUAACGUUUUGUUGUCUCUCUAAGUACAUGCUCUUGAUUUUUGCAGUCAUUCGCUUUAACUACAGUCACAAGAACCUAGAACAGAGAGAAUGAAGUUCUGGACAGCAAAUAAGGAAGUAUUUGUAGUGAGUGUUGGCAGAACUGACACCACACCAGGUCACAGCCAUGUAUUACAGUCCAGCAUCCCUGGGGCAAGACUCCAAUAGCAAACUGGAAAGAUGCAGAUAGUUCAGCUUCCUGAAGCUGGCCCCAGUCCCACCACUCCCUGAACCCUGUCCAGCCCAGCUUCUGCCUAUGCUGCUACCCCUGGGGCCCAUCCAUCAGCAGGUUGUGUCCUCAUCACCCACCUCCUGCCUCCAGCUGCCCUCCUGCUGCCCCUCCCUCGCCAUGAGUCACAUCCUUCCUUCCUCCGCCUCUGUUUUCCCUCUGGCCUCAGCCCCAAUCUAUUUGAGCCAAUAUCCUUUCCUCCACCAUCAAUGAGCUUCAGCCUUCUUGGCAUUCUUUUCCUCUCCUUCUCUUUCCUUUGCCUCUUGAGGGGCUCGCACUGCAAAGCAGUCCAUUCUGGCUGUGCGUCCCGGCCCCAGCCCUGAGCCACACAGUGGUCAGUGCCCUCCCUGUCAUCAGGGCAGCUGGAGUGGGACCAGAGGAAGGAGAAUGCUUGGCAACCAUGCUGAGAAAAUGGAAGUCCCCACCCAACAAGAACAAACCUCUCCUCUCUCCCGCUGGUGUUUAGAAAUGGGAAAAAUUUGGACAGAUGUUCACGGGGCAGAAAAAGUGCAGCUCAGAAGCAGAAUGUUUUGUCAAAGACUUGUUUCUCCAAGUCUUGCUCUCUGCAGUGCUAGAAAUGUUUGGGCAGCAAUGUUCAAAACAGACAGCAGCAGUAACAAAUGCUGCCUGAAGCAAAAAUCCAGCAUAGAAAUUUUUCUUAACUGAAUGGGCACAAUUCUACAAGAGCUUGAAAAACAGCAUGUAUGGGACUGUCAGCACUCAUUCCAUACCGAAGCACUCUCAUAAUAUAGGUAACAUGGGUGACCAGAGCCUAUCCAAUUUAAUGCUGAAUGGAUUAGCUGUUUCAAUACCACAUUUGAAAUGUUUAUACAAAUGCUGGGCUCUCACAUAAUAAAGUGGUUGUGUAUUUUUUUCCUUUUAAGCUGAUUCUUCCAUACCAAUGCUGUACCAUAGCCUAAAGUAAUUUAAAUGAUUGACUAGCAGAAUGUGCUAAUAGCUUUGAUUAGCUUCAUUUAUUUGCAUAUAAUUAUUUGCUAAUUUCUCUGCAGUAAUUAGAACUGUGGCACAUUGCUGACAUGACUUUUUUUAAACAAGAAUGCUUUCAGUAAUAUUCCAACCUGUUUUAUGAUUCCCGACCGAUGCCUUCCAUAAAGAAAUCAGUGUCAGGAAAGAUGUUUCUGAAACAAAUACACAACUCUUGAUUUUGAGCAGUCACUGAGCAGUCAUAGCAGGUUGUGCUGUGGCUGUAUAUGUUAAAAAUCCAGAAGACCAGGAAAUACUAAAGUGACCCAAAGUUCUGCACAAAGUCCCAAAUAGUUUGGAAGAAAACACUGGUAGAAAAUAAUGCAAUACUGUAAUAAAUGUAUUUCAGUUGAUAAUUCCAUUUGUGGUAUUUAGGUGCAUCUACUCAAGUUAGUAAAUUACUAAUUAUGCAUACUGCAUUUUUUCUUACCAACUUUGGAGGCUACUUAGUGUAUUUUCUUAUCUCUUGUUAACAUCAGGUUAAUGUAGAAUUCUAAACCCAGUUCAUAGAAUCAUAGAAUCCUUAGAGUUGGAAGGGACAUCUGAAGGCCAUCUAGUUCAGCUCCCCUACAAUGAACAGGGACACCACAAUUAGAUCAGGUUGUCAACCUUGCCUUCAAAGUCUCCAGGGAUGGGGCAUCAGUCAUAACUCUGGGCAACCUGUUCCAGUGCCUCACCACUCUCACUGUAAAAUACUUUUUCCUUAUAUCUAACCUAAAUCUGCCCUCUUUGAGCUUUAAGCCGUUUCCCCUUGUUCUAUUAUCAAAAACUGCUAAAGAAUCUGUCCUUUCUGUAGCUCCCCUGUAGGUACUGAAAGGCCGCUGUCAGGUCACCUUACAGCCUUCUCUUCUCCAGGCUGCGCAGCCCCAGCUUUCCCAGCCUGUCCUUGCAGGGGAGGUUUUCCACCCCUGGGAUCAUUUUUGUGCCCCUCCUCUGGACGCUCUCCAACAGGUCCACAUCUCUCCUGUACUGAGGACUCCACAUCUGGACACAGUACUGCAGGUGAGGUCUCACAGCACAGUAGAAUGGUAGGAUCACCUCCCUCACCCUGCUGGCCACCAGUUUGUGCCUGUGUUCCUGCAAGACAGAAGGAUAAAAGUCAAGGGCAAAGAAACUCUCUUCUGGAAAUCAUGACUGGACAAACAUAAACUUUCCUGGAUGCUUUGCCAGCUACCUGACAAUUUUAAAUAGAAGACUGAACAGGUGAAGAAACCAAUCAAAGUCAGCACUAAUGCUGCUGCCUAAACAGUUUAGCUGUCUUUGCUCCAUUUCUCCCACAGCUAUUGCUGACUGUGACUAUAGAUAAGUUGGCAAGGAUGGAGGUCACCAAAACAAGAAAUGCCUUCAUAAUUAAGGGCUCAAUAUGCUUCACAAAUACACCUUCUUCUGCACCUGCUGCCAAAGAGCUGUGGAUCUGUGAUAUCUUGUAAAAAUAAAUUAAGAAACCUGAAAGGCUCUCCUUGUAAUCUAAAUGUGGAAAUGAAGAUGUAGAAUGAGGAUGAAACUCCUAAUUACUCUCCCCAAGCUCAUACUUGCAGCAUAAUCAAAUCUGUCUACCGGGGCAAUCUGCACUUAAUCAAUUGAAGUGUGAUACAACCUUGCUCUUCACGAUACUGUGAAGCUAGGACUAAAAAAAGCCCUGUCAUUGUUAUGAGUGUAUUUUCAAGGCACAGAAUUAGCGAGCUCUGCUCUCCAAAAUGAGCCCCUCAACAUUUAAUUAACUGUAGUACAUGGAAAACAUUUGUUGUGGUUUGUGUCCAGCUAACAGCUGAUCCUGCCAACAACCAGGACUACACUGUCCUGAGAGCAGUCUGCCAUUGGGAUUCCUUAUUCCAACACACUUAUUUCUUGGUGAGAUGUGAAGUUCUCUAUUUGUUUUAAUGCAAACAGUGAGUUAUUCAGUAAGGAAGCAAAGCACUUUACAUUCUUGCCAUGUCUCAAAGCCUGAAGAAAAACCCACUUUUUUCCCACUCUGUAAUUGAGGAUUUUCAUGAUAGCCGAGCUGAAAACCUAUGUAUAGUAUCAGUCUAUGCUUCAAGGCUUUGGACAAGUUUUGGCCUUUGGUUUGUUUGGACAAGUAGCAGAAUUCAGUUGGAUUUGUACUUAAAUGGCAGGGCAGCUCCUCUCAAUGUCACAUUGGGAAUUGGAGGCUUGAGAAGCAGGCUUUUCCCCAACGAUUCUCUUGCAUUUUAAUUACAGGGAUGUGAAAAAACAUCUGUCUGGGAUUUUAUGACUUCUGUUUCCAACUGAAAUUGGAAAAUGCAAGGACACACAAGAGGAGAAGAAGAUUUCAGCCUUCUGAACCUGUAGCUUUCUGGUUAGAAAUUUAAGUAACGAUUCUGUAUCUGCUCUUGUUCCAGUCAGAUGUGUUUAAUUCUGCCCUCAAAACUGUGACUCCUAUUCCCAUUUCCAAUCAACAUUUGAAAUGGUAGAAAUAUCAGCAGAAAACAGUCUGUUUGGCAGAUCUCAUGGAUGGCAAAGUCUGUCAGAUGAGUUCUCUUCUGCUUUCCAGUUUGGAUAAUUGCUUGCACCUGUGCAAACUGAGGGUCCCAGCCCCUGUCCUGCUGCUGCAAUGUGCCUUGUGCAGCAGAAGUGUGCAUGGCUGGAUAAAAGGUAAGGGAGAGCAUUUGGCCUAAUGGCUGUGUUUCUGCUGAAAACAAAAUCUGUCAAAUGGUAAAGACAAAAUGCUGCACUGAAAAAACCUUCACAUUUUCUGCAGCUGUUUAUUGGGAGGUCUGUUUUGUAAAGAAGGGAAGGCCAACUUUAUGCCACAGCAUGAGCGAACAAACGACACAUUUUGCUUUCUAGUUCUAGCACAGCCUGUGCUCUCAUAAAAAAUAUUCUACCAGUAAGCAAAAACGUGAACAACAAAGAUGCAAUAACUUUUCUCACUCCUAUUUUGUCCUCUCACCUUCUGUCAACAUCCAGAGAAGUGGAACAUUCUCCGUAAUUUAAAAAAAUAAUACAUUUCCCUGUGUGCCUCCUUCCAUUGAACAGGAGGACAUCAGAGGAGCUCAGCUGUCUCCUUGAAUUUGUCAGCAAAUUAAGGACAUCAGUAUUAUGAAAAUGUCCAAACUCAAUGAAAAGUUAAUUAGCAUUCUGAGGAGUCACUUCAAUUAAGGGGAACUUGUUUUGUUGGCCUCACUAGAGAAAUGUGGACUAAGACAGGAAUAUAAAUGUGACAAUAUUUUAUAAUGAUUUAAUGUGACAAUCUCCCUAUUUGCAAAUAGCCCAGCAGAGUCACAGUUUAACAUCAAUUCAUAAAAAGCAAGUUCAAAAACAAGUCAUAACAAUUUACAGGAUGUUUUUCAAUUAUCUGACGAAGGACACAUGGAGAUUUCUUACAUGAUUUCAUUUUUCUAUGUGACUCCAUGCAUUACAUUGUUCUAAACAAUUUGUUGUUUGAAUUUUUCAAUUCCUGUUUGGUAUGUUUGCUGAAGUCUACCAAGAAGCUCCAGCAAAGUUUCCGUUGCCUUCCAAACCUCUCCAGGUGGGCUUUCAAUUUCCCACUGAUGGGAUAAACAUGCUGAGUAUUUUCAGCUGGGUCUCAGACAAAACCAACCAAAAUCAAGUCCUUAAGGCUCUGAUUCUCAGAGCACUUAAUACUAAUAACUGCACCUGAAGCUGGUUGUAGUUGUUGGGGAGUAGUAUCCCUAUAAACUUGAAAAGUACCCUCUUCUUGGUGAGGUUGGUGCUUGGAUCCAUGGAGCUGUUUAGAGAAGUGAGGUAUGGUGCUUAUUUUUUGUGGAGGGAGAGCAGACAGAGCCUGCUCCAUCAAACACUGUAGAAAAAGCAGUAAAUAUAAAAUGAAGUUAGGGAUGACUUGCAGCUCUUGAUUUUCUUUUGGGGAUAAGACUUUGGGAAGUAAAUUUUAGUGAUGUUUCUGGAGGUUUCUGGAGAUUUCUGGAGACUACUUCCUUUUUGUUUUUAAAUUCAAUUUUCAUCAGCAUCUGUAACAAGAAGUAUGGAGCUCUUUGCCUAGUUUCAGUAUAGCUUUGUCUAAGUAACAGCAAGAACCUGAAAACUUUCAGGAUUUUUCAGAAGUUCUUCAAACUUCUCUGAGACCUUCCUUUAUCAGUUUAUCUAUCCUUUGUCUAUCCUUUAUAUGAUAGAGACUGGUGACUGAAUGUCUCUCACCACUACGAAAUCCCAGGCUUGUCCUUGGACUUGCGUACUUCUGCUAUGUGAUAUACUCAUUUACAGGCACCUUGCUUGUUUCUUCCAGCUAGGGCUCCAAAAAAAAGGAGCAGGACUCAGUUACAUCCGUAUCAUCAAACAGUGCAACCCAAAGCCAGAGGAAGCAAAGUGAAGUUCAAACUCUGACCUCUGUGUUUGUCAAUCUGUAGUUAUGGCAAACUGACAAACUAAGGCUUAAACCGCCAUGUUGGUGUUUGUUGCACUUGAAAAUUAGAAGUGAUGUAUCUGGCAGGAAUAACACUUGCCAAUGGCAUCCCAACACAACUGGCUAUCACUAGCUGCCAUGAUGGCACGUGGAUCUCCUGCUGGCAGUUGGACUUAUUGCUAAAGAACUGCUCCUGUGUCAGUUUUUUGGUAGCUCGUCUUCAUUUAUUUCUUCCAUAGCUGAUCAUUUUCAUAGAUUAGUGAGGCUCCAUGAUCACUAUCUGUAGUGAGCUCCUUACCAGAUAUGUUUACUUUGCUAAAAUAAGACAGUAUUUUAUUAGCUGUUGAUCUUAGAAGCUGGAGUGUCCUGAUUAAACACAUGAGAAAGGCUGUACAGGGUUAGGCUAAACAGUCAUUUACUCCAUUAUCUUCUCUCUGAUAACAGCUGACAAGGGGAGUACAGAGCCGGGGCAGCCAUAAAGCACUUCCUCAGCAUAAUGUCCCAGCUUCUGGUGACCCGUCAUUCCUGGCCUACAGAAUCUGUCAUCUUAUUUAAUAGAGCUGGAUGGAUUUUUCCUACUCUAAUUUGCUUAAUCACUUUGUGAAACCUGGGAAACUCUAGUGAAAAUCUCUGGAAAGACACUUCACGGCUGACUAUGUAUUAUUUCUACUGCUCAUUUUGAAUUUGCCAUCGACUUUGUCUGGCCCUUCUCGUUCUUCUAUUAGAAAAUAUGAUGAAUGCAACAUCCCUAUUUGUGUUCCCUGUACACUCAUGGUUUCAUAGACCUUUCUUAUGGUCUCAGUCAGUCAUCUCUCUUCAGACUGAAAAAACCUAAUCUAUUUAGGCAUUUCUGAUGCAGAUGCCAUUUGAUACCUUUGUCAUCCUGAUCCUCCAUCUCUGAACCCUUUCUUCGGACCUGCUAUACACUGAAGAGAUUAGUGUGCCAGAACUGUCCAUAGUAUUCAAGGUGUGGGUGCCUCACAUCUGUACAGAGCGGAUGCUAUCCUCUCCCUUCUUCUCUUUUCCCUUCCUAAUAAUUUCUAGUGUUCAAUUUGCUUGUUUUUAUUAUUCCUGAGCAUUGAGCUGACACUUUCACAUAGAUCAUCUAUUAUAUUUUCAAGAUCUUAUUCCCGAAUUAUAACGAUAAUUCGGAGACUGUCACUGCAUAUGUAAAAGUAGGAUUGUUUUUCCUCACGCUUGCUAAUUUACAUUUAUCCGCUUUGAAUGCAAUUUGCCUCUUAACCAAACAGUUAAUCUGUAUCAUACAGGUUGUUUUUGUUCUUUUUUUUUUGUUGUUGUUGCAGCACCUAAAUUUUUAUCAACAGGAAACACUGUCAUCUCCUCAUUCACCUCUUUUUCUGGGUAAUUCAGAAGUGAGCUGAAUGGGACAGAUCCAGUCAGAUUCCACUGGUGUCCUCAGUACACUGAGAAAAUUGGCUGUCUAUGCCUGUUCUUCAUUUCACAAGUCUUAACCUUUUUUUCUUUCUUUCUUUCUUUUUUUGGUCCAUGGAAGGAGUUCCUCCCCUAUUCUGUCACAGCACAGUUUUUCAAAGAGCUUUUGGUGACAUAUAUUGUCAAAUGCCUUUCAGAAAUCCCAAGAGAUUCAAUUUGAAUUAGUUCGUGCCCAAUGGGUUAGGAGUUGUUUGUUCAUUGUCUCUUCUGUGUGUGAUAUAGGAGAUGUUGAAGGACACUGCUGGAAAACACAGAACAAAAAGCAAGGUGAUUCUUCAUGCACUGUCUGUUUAAGGUUCAGAAUUCAUUGCCACACAAAACUUGGACAGUGUAAGUUUUUGUGGGUUCAAGAGGCAGACUGGGUAAGUUCACAGAUGACAAAUCCAUUGUGGGUUACUAAAUGCAUCAAAGUUAAGUUUGUCUGAGGGAUUUCUGAAAGUCAGAAUGAUUGUGGCCCCAAGAAUUUUCACUGGACUUACUGCUUACAUCUUCCCAGGUCUUUUCCUCUUCCUUAGGCAUUUGCUUUUGGAGAUAAGGCUAUGGGCCAUUAGCAGCUCCAGCACAGACUUUCUUUUUUUCCCUUGUGCCCAGGUUCUUAACUGGGUCUCUUCUCAGAUUCCUUCAAAUUCUUCUGCCUGGUUUUCAAGGUGUACCUUCCCUUUUUGAAUGCUGCUUCUCUAGAGUACUACACUUUCCCCAGCAUUCAUUCAUUUAGUUUCUACCAAUUAUUCAGUAAAGCUGUGAAAGCUCCUAGGUGGUAGCUAUCCAGAUAGCACCUUUCAACUUUUAAAAACUUGUCAUCACAUUUGCCAUUUUCCACCUCUGUAGUGCCAUUGCAGCCCUAAAUGCUUUUGCAGCUUCCUUUAAUAGGUCAGCUUUCAAAUCACCUGGGUCUGGCAAUUUGUUACCUUAAUUUUUACAAUUCCUGCUAUGGAUUUUUCUAAUGAGCUCGCUCUGAGAUAGCUCCUCUGACACAUUGCCUCUGAUGUAUGAAGAAGGGUUCUAGCCUAGAAUUUUCCCUGAACUCCUUCAAGGCUGCAAAAAAAAAAUAAUUUAAUUUUCCUCCUCUGCUUUAUCUUCUCUGAGAGCUCCUUUUGUACUUUGAUCAAUUAAUGGGCCUACAAACUCUAUAGCUUCCUGCUCCUGAUGUGUUUGAAGGAAUGAUUAAUUAUGAGGUUGUUACAGCUUCUGAAAACUGUUCUUCAAACUCUUUUCUGCUGGCCUGAACCCAGAAACAGGAGAGCUUUGCUAAAGGCAUUCAUUUUGAUGUCUCCCUCUUUAAUAUUUUUUAUUUCAGGAAAGAAAAGAAUUCUUAUUGGUUUUCACAAUCAUGCACACAUACAGACUUGCAAUGGGAUAUAGUUUUACACAAAAUUUGUUACUCUUUUGGUCAUGCAUACACGUACUACAGCAGCUAUGCAGCAUCACCUGCUUUCCUCUGUAACAAUGCUUUACAUUUUCUGUACCACGUUAUAAUGCACUGAAUAACCAGAUACAUUUUCCUUGGUGAUUUUUGGCAAGUGGAUACUGCAUGGAAAGUGGAUUUCAACUUAAAAUGAGAAAACAAAAAACAAACAAACAAAAAGAACAACAAAAAACCCAGCAUUUUCCAUCUUAAGGCAAAUAAAAGCAAUUCAUUAUUAUUAUUGUAGUAGUUGCUAAUGUUAUUAUUUCCUUUUAAAGAAAAUCUAUGCAUGCCUUUCCAUUCAUCUGCUUACGCCUGACCGAUUCACAGCUUACUUUGUGCUUAUGCCAGUUCAUUGCUCCAUUGUUCUUCCAAAGAUAUUUUUCCUGCCUUACAUUCUUAGAUUGGCUUCUGGCUGACGUUUACUCUUGAAACUUAUGUUCUCAUGGUUUUGUGCAUGCUCAGUUCCUGUUCAGUAUGACAACUUGUGAUCUAUAUUUGUAACCUUGAUAUUCUGUUCAACUUUUGAUAAAAUGGACACUGAAUUAGAAGAGUUUCUUGCCUCUGUCUUAGGGUCAAGUUGUGGUUGCACACGGUUCUGUUCUACCUACUGAUGGCAAUAAUCCUAUGUUGCUGCACAGCUUCAUCUUUGCAGAUGUUGGUAGAGACUUCUUAUGUUGCCUCCUCUUUUACCUGAAGUGAUAAUGUUGCCAGAAACUUCAUCUGUUUAUGCUUUUGGUUCUGCUUCUUGUUUGCUGUUCAUAACAUAGCUGAAUUUCCCAAAUUUUCUUAUUUGCUCUUGGUUAUUCGUGGUCAUACAAGUUUUGCCGAAGUUGGUUCUCCUGUUAAAGCAUAUUGUCUUCUCCGUUACUCCUGACUCUGGAGGCUUACCUGUAUGUUCACAGAAACCAGGAGGAGACUUAGGCCAGGGACAACAUACAGCUCUUCACAUUUCAGGGGUUUAGUCCUAGGGACUCCACAGUGUCCCUCACCCAAAAGGCUUUGGCAAUAGCACACAAACAUGAUCCUUUUCACUUGUUACGCUCUUCUUGCCUCCUUCUGAUUUUACAGCUGACAACACCUGCCUUCUCACUAGGGAAUUACUACUCCUAUCCAAUUCUAUCUAUCUUUUGAGGUCACUGUAUUCCAUGAAAUGUCUCUUGAAUGACUAUUAUUUGAGAAAUUUAGCACUUCUAUGAUCCUUAAUGACAUAAAUUUCUGUUCAAUGUAUGAUUUUCCUUCUCUGAAACCUUCUUGUUCUUUGGUACUUGUGUCUGUCUGAUUUCAUUCACUGUAAUAUCACCCACAUUAACAUUUUUCUGGUACUGACACUAAUAAUACUCUAUUUCUUAUCUUUCAGAUUACCAUUCAUUUGACAGUUUGACAGUAAAACCCUUUUUGACAUUAGCAAAAGUAAGACAUCAGGCCUGUUAGACACUUCUAAGAAUCUCACGACGGUGCUUCACUUUCAGUAACCUAAAUGUAUCUAAGCCUUUGAUUCUGAUUUGAUAUUUUUUUUAAAUUAGUCAAUCUCAUCUGCUUUCAUUUUAUUUACUUCACUGGAAUGAGAAAACAAGCUUUUUCUUAAGCAAAUACAUCUAAUGUAAAUAUUGAAGUAAAAUUUAAAUAACUAACCAAGUUGCAAUUAAACGAUUAUAUAUUCACAGUUCUGUUUCACCUGAAGUUGUCUCAUGAUUGCCUCUUGGAGGUGAAAGCACUUGUUCCUUUGUGCCUCUGACUAUUGAGUAUUUUUCUUUGCUCACCUGAUAAGCCUACGUAUGCCAAGCAGUCAUAAAAGCUGAUCAGAUGAAUUGCCUUCGGUGCCUAUUCACUGAGCAUUGAUUCAAAACCACACCAAACUGGUGUAAAAUGCAAUCAACUUCUCUGCAAGGCAGCCAGAGUUUCGAGGCUGAUUUCUUGUCUGAAGAACCAGAUGUACCACUGAUCUCUGCCUGGCAAAGAGACGCAGCUUGGUGAUAACCCUGGUGUAUUGUCCAGCCCGGUAUUUGUAUCCUCUUCCUUUUCAAAGGUUCCCAGUGCACAGUCAGAGUAGCUCUGUCUUGGCUGGAGUUGUCCCCACCCAGAGAACUCCUGUUCAUUUGUAGAGCUUUCUGUACGUGGCAGCUGGUGGCUCCCUAUGGAUCUCCCCAUUUGACUGCAUAGAAUGUUGCAUGCAGGAAUUUUCAAAUGAUUCUAUCUGAUUUCUGCAGCAUGAUCAUUCUUGCACUAUAGCUGAGCAAUCUUUUAUAACUCUUUUUGGUCUUCCACGUGAGCAGGAUUGCCCUAGGUGGAUGAAGGUGCUGUUAGCCAGGAACCCAUACAAAUCCUUAAAGAGAUGCGAGUCUUGGCUACACAGUUUACCAUCUAGAAAUGCCUCACGAUAUACAGUGAAAACCAAUAUAGAGAAAAUAGACCAAGCAAUUUUAUAGUAUGUCAUAUCUGUGAAAGCCAAAGGGCAAAAUUCUGGCUUCGCUGAGGUCACUGGCCAGGCUCCUGCUCACCAAGGGUCUUUGGGGUGCAAGCAUUUGUAUUCUGCUCCUGUUGACCUAUUUCAGGUUGAAAUUCCCUUUAGUAUUGUUCACUAAGCCGUAGGGCUUGCUAGUAACCUUAACGUGUUUUGCCAAUGCAAGCUGACAAGGGCACGACAUCAUUAGUCAAGUUUCACAUCCCACUGACCUCACCAUCAUGACUUAAUCCGCCAGGGUCUGUCAUUCCUAAUGGUUUGGUUUGAAAGUGCUUUACUGCACUUGUUUAUUCACCUAAGAUGGCCAAGAGCGAGUGCUCAGCUGCUGUUAGGGAAAUGCAGUUAUGUGGAAGCUGCUGUAUUUCUGCUACAACAUGCGAAUUAUAACAAAGUUUGAUAAUGCUUCAGGUAGCUUGCUGGAGUAGCAUGCCAGCAGCUCUGCUUUUUCUUACUUUCUGAUAUCUCAGGUAUGGAUUUUCUUUAAGGUCUGAUACUGUGUGAAUUGUGGCAUGCUGAAAUUACCACAUUCUGAGAGAACUUGGUAUUUCUGCCGAGAGGGUGAUUGAUCAUAUUUUGCACAUCUGUCAACUUUCUCUUUCAGAACUUCACACCACUUUACAGGCAUCAUUACCCUGAUAUUUAAUUUAGAGAGAGAGAGAGAGGAAAAGAACAUUUCAUGCUGGCGGGUCUGGCCAGGAACCAUCCUCCUCACUGCUUCAGCCUCUCUGUGCCAGGAGAAGGAACGCUCCGUGCCACAUCCCCAGUGGAAGCAUGAAGUGUUGCAAGGCUGCUCUGCAAACCAAGCGCACAAGGAGUGCACCACCAAACAGGGAAGAGAAAAAAGUUAGAAAAGAGAAGAAUUGACACCACAUAGGAUAAAGGAGUUGAGUAGUGAGGAAAAGAGAGGGAACAUGUGGAACUCUACUACCUCAGGUACUGCCGGUUGAAAGGUCUUUCUGUGUUCUAGGAUUUCUCUUCUGGUUCUACCCAACAGGCUGCAUCAGGGUGAGGAGAAUGAGCAUUUUACUGCAUAAAGAAAGAACUGUACAAGUUUACAGCUGUUUUGUUGAACUCCUUAAACUGUUUUCUUUAGAAAUUUGAGGAGUUAUUGCAGGACAAGUUUAGGGAGUGAAUUUGAAGUGUAAUGUCCAGUCUGCUCUUAUGCCUGGUGUGAAUUAAGGCGGAGACAUUUCACUAUGGAUUAGGAGUGUCCUCAUGAAGAGUUAGUAUGCAAUAACUAUUCUAGGCUAUUUCCCCAGGGAGACAAGCCUAAACAUCUGAUAAAUAGGCCUAUUACUUUUUCUCUUAACCAAUUAAGUACUUAUUUUAGAAGGAUAAGAUGAAUUAUCACGUAACUAUUUCUGCAAUAUGUCUUACUUAGUACACUAAUGUCAGAAAAGGCAAACUACUGUCCACAGAUUGGAAGGAAAGGUAUUAGUAUUUUACAGGCUCAAGCUUAGAGAUGACUCCUGGUCUUAUUAUAUUUUGGGUGAAGAUCAUGAUAUAUUGUUGUUUUUGCAACACUUCACAUUUAUUUCAUAAAAUAAAUCACAUAAUGGACUGUCAUAAUAGCCGCAGUAGCAUGACAGCAAAAAAGAAUUGGUGGAGCUACACUUCAGUGCACAGUGAAAUAGCUAACAAUUUGUUAAAUAUCCCAUGAGUGGAUUAAAUAGGCAUAUGAUCAGUUAUGUGGCUGCCAAGCCACAGCAGGAACCAAUUAGAAUUCACCAAAAAUAAUUUAGAUGAAAACUGAUGAAUCCAUCAAAACCUAAUUAAAUUUAUGGAAAAAAGCAAACAUCUAAUUGACAGAUUGCAUAACCACUGAGCUUCUCUGUGAAGGGUCUGCAAAGGGUGGCCGCUGGGAGAAGAGCUGCACUACUGGGUCUGGUUGGCAGAGUGCUGGGUCUUCUAACACUCAGUACUCUGCUGGUAUCGAUUUCAGGUAAAUCACUCCCGUAGAGCUGAGGUGGUCAGUUUUCUGUGAAGUAACAUAAAGUCACCCAACAAAAAUUGUAACUACCAAUUAUUUCAUGGCUAGUCUUAAGUGAUACACAGAAGAGCCUGGGCAAGGAGGACUUGAAUUCAGAAGAGAGGUACAGGCAGGGAUCUCUCUUAAGGAUUCUAUUUUUCGCUGUGAACUAUAGAGGAUGGGAACUGAGAUUUUUACAGCUGGACUUGUGUGCAUCUUGUCUCUACUUUACUGUACUGUUGUGGGCCAGAGGAUUGUUUUUAUUUACGUUUGUUGGCAUUUAUGGAUUUUAAGCCAGCAAAAGGCGAAGCAAACCUGUAUGAGAAUGAGCACUGAUCUGAGCUAUCAGUAACAAAAUGCAUGAAGUGAAAAGGCGUGAUACCUCUCAGUCAGGAUUCUGGCUGCAGUAAAUAGAUGCACUGCUUUCAGAACAAAAAGACAUAGGCUUGCAUAGUUAUUCUCACUGAAUCAUUGCAAGGAAUGUGCCGGGAACAGUGCUGCUGAUCCUCUUACUCCUGCAAUGUCAGAAUAGAUAUUUCUACAGUGUACCUUACACUCCAGUUGUUUCUCAGAUUCCUGGGCUGCUCACUCUCCCAUGAAACUCUUGUACAUCGUGAACCUGAGUUUUCUCUUAACAGAAAUUCAGUUUUCUCUACUUAGAAGUGAAGCAUUCAGUUGCUGCAAGAGAAAAGAUGGUAUGUGCUUCUCUUCUAUCCAUGUGCUUCUCUUUGGUGGUCACCUGAGAAAGUGUCAGGACAGGGUCUGAUUCUUCUCUCUUGAAAAUGGGAAUGACUUUUUAAUCUUUUCCCCCAGUGUGAGACAAGUGUAAACCCAAAUCCUUCAAAUGGAAGUAAUAAAAUUAUCUCAGCCAGAAGAGUCAGGUUAUUUACAGACUUGAUAUCUUACAUAAAUAAAUAAAUACAGGAGAGUAUAUGUUGUCAUUGCUGGAUGAGUGCCAGUGUUAGCCACAUCCUAAUGUUGCAUAAAGAUGCUUGAAUUACCUUGUAGGAUGCUAUUACUGUCUAGGAAGACUUUUUCAAACAAUCCUGUCUUAAUUCAUAGACUCAUAAUAUGAGGAUGUACUACUUUCUCUAUGAGAAGGCGGUCACAUGUGCUUUGUUGCUGAUGUUCCUCUCCUGAAAUGAAAGUUAUUCUUCAAACUGAGGCAAAGACAGAGCUGAACUGUAACAUUUGGUUUCUUCUAGAUUCUUAAGUGAGCUAAGAUAACCGGAAACUGUAAAGCAAGCUGAAUGGCAGUGUGGUGGGCUGCAAGGGUGAUGCGCUGGGGUGUGCAGCAAGAUGGUACUUGUGCAACCUCUCACCAUAUGUGAGCUUCCUGCAGAAAGCAUGCAGUAGGCAGGCUGUAGAUGUGUAGCACUUCCUCAGCACUUAACACAUUGCCUCAGAGCUGAUAGCACAAAGAGAGCUGCUACUGUCUCUCUCCUUGUUCAAUUCAGUCUCAAGCCAUAAAUAAGUUGCAGAGUAAUGUAACGAGCACUUCAAAUUCCACGACAAAUAGGCUUUUGCUCAGGACACAACAAAAUGCAGUGUGCAGCCUCUCACUAGGAGCUUCGCAUGGCUUGUUUUUUAGGAGGGAGGGAUGGCCGCAACUCCUGCUGGCUCUACCAUCAGACCCCUCAAGAAUGGGGCCACUUGCCACUUCCAGAACUGUGUCCUUUCAAAAUGCAAGGUCAGAUCCAUGCAUUGUUCCUUAAGAGCACGGCUUGGGAGGAAUAGGAGGAAAUGUCUGUCAGCCUCUUUGAACCAUUUACCUUCUUUUCCUUCUAGGGCUGUUAUGUGUAGGGGAAUAAGGACUAAGACUAAGGCAGCAACUGAAAUGUGCUCGUGCCCUGUGAUAGGUUUCAUAUCAGAUGUUGCCCAUGUGUGUUGUUUGUGGCUCUGACCAAAAUUUGUGAUAGUCUCCAAAAACUUUGCAGUGUGCCUUGCUAGCAUUUCCCUGCUGUUUUUUUAGUAUGCACAGAGUGGAUCUUGAAGUAACAACAUUGGAAGUUAUUGAUAUUCAGUAGGUGUUUGCAUUAAAAAAAAAAAAAAAAGCCAAAAUAAAUAGCAGUACACUUAGUUAUCUAUUUGCAAAAAAGUAAGCAGGAACAACUUGAUAUGCACAAUUCCUGACGCAGAAAAUUUCAUGAGGCCUCCUUGAUAGAGGAAGUACUCUAAGGUCUAAGAAUGUAUUACAGAGCAUCUCUUAAUGAGAUUCAAAAUCUUCUAGAAAUUGCCCAUUUUUAAAAAUUGCUGGAUAUGCUAUGAUAGAGAGCUUGAUUUAUGUCCAAUAACAUUAAUAAAGCCAUUUUCGAGCUUCAUUGGAAGCAGGAUCAAACUAAUUAUUUGCUGCUGGUUUUACAUCUGCAGUUCACUUUGGACUUGAUUUUCAGAGGUACUAAGCAUGUUCCCAUAACACACCAAUUUCAAAUAAUGCUUUGGGUGCUUGACACUUCAAAAAAUGAAGCUUCGUUAUCUAUAAAUUCAGUCAAAUUGAUAAUCCACAUUGGAAGUAAUGGAUAAAGCUAACAGAAUCUGCAAAUAAUUUGGAAGUGCUGAAUUAGUGCCUCUCCUGACAGUCGAGGAGAGGUGCCUUAUCUAGCCAGCCUUAUCCAUUUUUUCACCUCCUCUGACAACAGGCUGCCAGGCGUAGGUUGCUCUGCACAGCAGCAGCCUUCAGCUAAGGCACUUUCUGUCACCCGAAAAUAUAUUCAACGCUUGAAACUAGCCUAUUAUUAAUAAACACUGGCACAUCUCAGGGGUGGUAUUCAUCUUCAUGCUAUCCUCAUAUAAAUCUUCUUACUCUUUGUAUAUAAGUUCUCAAGGUAUUAAUAUUUUGUGUGCUUGGGAAUAAAAUAAUUGGAGUAAUAAAAAGAAUAUUCCUUAAUUUCUCCCUGUGAACACAAAUCUGAAACUGACCAGUGCAGAAACUGUGUAAAAUUGGAUAAUCAGAUUACAGAAAGAGCUGGAUGGGGAAUGGAGUUGGCAAUGGCAUUCAGUUUUCACUUAAUUGGCUCAAAUACAUUCCAAGCCAGUAGUUGCAGAGAGGCUUUACUGCCUGAAAGUUGUUUUGCAAAACCUGUGAAAUAAACAGCUCAUCUGUCAUGUUAGGAACACCAUGCACCAUAGGAAAAAUACCAACACACAUAAUGCUGGCUGGUAUUGUAGAGGAAUUGUCAGGAGUUAAACCAGAGGUGACAAACAACAAAUGGGAUUUCAGGUACUUACAGGAGCCCUGAAUACCUGGUUUCAAAUGAUGAUUGGCCUCAUACCUGACAUGAGCAAAAAGAAUGCAGAUGCCUCUGCAGAUAAAAAUAACCAUAUUUUGUUAUUUUAUACCAAAAAAAGGAGAAAAGUCAGCUAGAAAUUUAUACAUCUCUAACAAAAUUUUAGGUUGCAAUAACUGUUCCUCAUUUCUAAUGCUAUAGACUCAAGUUCUGUUUCCAAUGUCUCCCAUGACUGCUGAAUAUUCUCCUAAAAUGAAGUUUGCAUUAACAUAGUAAGAGUUUAAAUGCUGUAUUUAAAACGUGUAGGUUUCUGCAUGCAACAAAAUGGAGAAGUUAGGUGAGGUUUAAUAUGGAAAGCUGGGCAGACAUGAAGUUUAGAGCAAAAUGAUGUGUGUUGUUCCUGGCUGUUCAACAUAUGAAUCUGCAGGAUGCUAUAUGAAUAGAAACUAAAUGGAGAAAAGUUACCAAGUAAGGACAGAGAAUAAGGGAAUAAAAGAGACAGAAAAUGGCAAAAUGUAACAGGUUGCAUCUUGAUGUUAAAAUGAAAGCAAAGAUUUUACAUGCAUACAGUUUCCUGAAAAAUUCUACAAGUAUUAAGGACUUGUUUUUCAUGCUUAAUAUUGGGGUAAAAGUGACUUAAAUAGAUCUAGAUUUUCAGAGGUAAUUUUGGUAAAGAUGCACUUUCUUUUUUUCUCAGUUUCUUAACGCUCUCUUUUCAUGCUGUACAGGCAAGGAAGGAAAAUCCUUUGAACAUUCAGUUCUAGGUCUUCCUGUAGGCCUUUUGGCAUCCUUGCAAGGAAAUCUCACACCAGCCCCAGUUAAGUCUGGCUGUAGCAGAUUGCUCAGUAGGAAACCUCAGAUGUUAGACCUCCUCUUCCAGCUGAGAACUUGUGAACUCUGAGAUCAUCUUCUCUAUUCCUUGUGCUAUGUCUGUCUCACAAACAGGGAUGAGAACAUUCAGGCAGGAUUCCAUGCUGUGAUAUAUCCCUCGGAGUAAGAAAUAGCCUUCCUGACCCCAUUGCCCUCCUGAUGAUUCAGGGUUGUGCCAGGACUCCAGUUUCCACCAAAAUCUGUGAUGAUGGCAUUGGAAGUCUAAAGGUAUUUUGUUGAAAUUACCACUCAGUAUCAGAACUUUUACACCUGCUAUUUCUACUAGACACAGAUCAAUCUCAUUUCAGAAUAAUUACUGUUGGAAAAGACCACUAAGACCAUCUAAUUCAACUGUCAACCUCCACCACGUCCCUGGGCAGCCUGUCCCAAUGCCUCACCACCCUUUCUGAGGAGGAAUUUUUCCUAAUAUCCAUCCUGAACCUCUCUUGGUGCAUUGUGAGGCCAUUCCCUCUCAUCCUAUCGCUAGUUACCUUAAGAACAGCUGUCUGUAUUUAUAAGAGUUCCUUCUGAGGAAGUCUUGCUUAGCCAUGACAUGAGUGGUGAUCUGUGCACCUAAACCUGGAACAAAGGCACACCUUGAUGGUGGUUCUCCUUGGGCUGGGUACCUCAGAAGCAGCAGGACUUGAGCAGAUCAUUUCAUUUGCUAACAACAUCAUUUCCUGUUGUCUUGUGGUUUUUCUUCCUACCGAUAUUCUUAUGGGAAAAGAAUAUGCAACAGUAUCCAAGUUACUUAGCAGGUUCCAAAGUUCUGAAAAAUGUGACAUCUGCACAGUUUUUAGUAGUCUCAUAAGACUGUUUGACUGAAUUUGCAAUGCAUAGCGUUACAGUAGCUAUCAGUCUCCGUCUAGAGAGGAUUUUAAAAAGCUAUGGGAUGCUAUAGACAACAGUGAGGUGACUGCAAUCAAAACAGUAGAGCACUGAAGUGAAUUUUAUCCUUUGCAAGCCGCUCUGUAAGCCAACAGAACGUAAACAAGUAGACAAAUAGUGAUGUCUCUCUCCCCUUUGUAUUAAGCUAUGUAGUACCUCUUGGAAGGCCCUGCAGCAGCAGAUGAUUGAUGCACGUAACAGUACAUUUCAUCCUGCACCCGGAGGACAUGAGCAAUUGCUGCGCCUUUGCUCUUCAUUUUAUAUAGCAUGCCCUACUCUUUGCUUCAUGCUUUUCAAGACAUUGAAUGUAAUCAAAACAGUAAUACCAAACUAGAGCAGAUAAUCUAGAAAAAUAUUUUAUGUAUUCUUCCUCUGCUUUUUAUUUAUUUAUUUAUUUUUAAUUUGGCCUCAAAUCAGUUUGUUUUCUUAUUUGAGCAGCCACCACGUUGGCAUUUAGAAGAAAAGACUGUUCACAUGAAGUCAGCCCCUGCAAUGAGUACGGAGAAGACAACACCAUGUUCUUAGGCUGAGAAGUGCUUGAAUAAAUGGCAUCAUUUAAAAAAAGAGUCUCUUUUGUCUAUAAUAAAAUAUUAAUUCAAUAUUUUGCAUUAGCUGUUCUUAUUUCCUUAUGUGCAGCAUUAUUUCUUACAGUUCUCGUAUAUUCUAAUAACUCUUCAAACUUAGGAGGGAAGACAUGCUUCUAAAAACUUCUUGCUAAUGGAGCAGUGAAAUUACAAGAUAGUCAUCUUAAUGCCACCGAGUUACAGCACUUUCCUGUUUACUAAAAUCGUUUGCUUUUCUUUUUCCAAAUGGCUUUAUUUUCCCCUUAGAUUUUCCAUCUCAGCAUGCUCUGCUGCAGAAAUAAACAAAUGAACACAAUGCUCUGGUGUGGCCCAAUCCUGGCUCUGCUUUAGCUGCCUCUGGGAAGUCUGCACGCUAUUUCAGUGCUCGGGUAUGUCAGCGCGAUUUCAGUAGGGUUGAGAUCCUUAAAGGAUAUCUGCCUAGGCCACUGUAUUAUUUAUGUCACUGUACAGCAAAACAAAUAAGGUGAGGCUUAAAACACAGGAAAAGAUAAUAGCAGGUCGUUUGUCAGCAGAGUUUUGAGAAGCCUAGUAACCUCUAACAUUUGAAAGAGCAUGGCACGUAUGCGGUGCUUCCAUGAAACCUUUUGUGGACUCCAGGCCAGCCCUGAUGACAGAAGAUUUUCCCCUCUUGGCAAAAUGAUCUGGUUUGCCUGGUGAUGUGGGAGCUGUGGCAAGGUGACCGGUCUUCUGAUGGUGAUGCAGGUGGUGAUGGUGGUAGUGGGGAAUGUUUCUUCCAGCCACUGAAUGCUGCUGCAGCCUGCAGUUGAGACCAGGUAAAAUGUUAGCCAUGCAAUGUGUUUUACAGUGGAAAACAUGUAUUUGCUUGCAUAUUUAUGACCAAUUUAUUCUCUGCUUUUUGAUUUCAUGUGUUGUGUUCCCGGGCAGGGCUUGUAACCACACACCCCCUGGCAGUUCUCCAGGCAUGAUUAACUGCUGCAUUUACUCAUCUCUGUGGAUGAAAGAAGCCUACCCAUACAAACUGCAGACCACUACGAAGUGCUAUUUAGCUAUUAGAGGGAUCUUCUACUUUGUUGAAAACUGAGCAACCAUACCAGCUGAGACCGGAGUCCCACCUCACUCCAUAUACUGUCUCAAACCUCUGGAAAUCACUAUGGAGAAAACUUCUACUGCUCAGCAACAGAAUGCCUGACAUAGCUGGGAACAAAACUGAGGAUAUUCUGUUUGCAGUCCUGUUGGUGCUGGUGUGGUGCUGUUCAUUUACACUUUAUAUAAAUGCUAUGAGUUCUGGCAUUUUACUGUAAUUUCAUUGAUCAUAGUCCACUACAGAGUUCAAACCUAAAAUCUUUUAUUAUAUGAGUUUUUAUUUUCUAAUAUAUUCUUCGAUAUAUUUUAUUGAAAACUGUGAUUUCAAGGUCAUUACUAUAGCAUCAGAAAGAAAGUCUUCAGCAGUGCAUAGGAAACAUGAAACUAAAUUAAACUAAACUAAGUGAAACUGAAUUGCUGCCAAGGGCAGAAAAUGGCCAUCCUAUACUUUGGCGCCGAAGUGGGUAGAGGAGUAAAUCACAGAAUCAUAGAAUGGCGUGGGUUGGAAGGGACCUCAAAGAUCAUCUUUGUUCAAAUGCCCCUUCCAUUGGCAGGGUUGCCACUGACUAAAUGAGGCACCAGCUCGGGCUGCCCAGGGCCACAUCCAACCUGGCCUUGAACACCUCCAGGGACUGGGCAUCCAAAUCAGGUCUCUUUCAGCUCAAAAACAAGGAGAUAUUUGAGAUGGAGGAAGGCAAGAAGGAGUUUUCAGUUCUUUAAGGGGUCCAGAGUAGCUGGAGUUAGAGAUGUUUAGUUAGAGAUAUUUUUCCAGAAAAAUGCAAAUUUGGGAUUAGAUCCUCAUAGGAGAUACAGGACUUCACUGCAGACAAGCAAGCCAGAGGCACUGAUGGUAAUGGUGCUUGAGCUGGAGACAGUCCCCUGGCCACCAGCAUGGACACUGCUGUGUCCCCAAGCUGAUGUGUAGGGGACAUAUUUCAGAUACCCCGCUCUGAGUUCCCACAGUAGACUUGACCCUGCACUUCCCACCAGCUCAUAGGGAAUUUAGAGCAACCCCAUGGCUCUGGAGAAGCUGCCCCAGAACUGAAGGCAAGUUGGAUCCUGCCUGUCUUCUCCCUGGUGCGGAUGCUCAAGUGGUUGAUUUUCACUGGAAUUCAUUGUUUUGAGACUUCUCCCUUGCUUCAACACCUUGUUGAAAUUGGCCGAGUGCUCUGCCACGUACUAUUACAGAACCCUGUGAUACACUUUGAUAGACAUAAAUGCUUGCUGUAUGUUUUAUAAUUUUUCUUCUUUAAAGCCUUUUUUUCCCCCACUGCUUGUAGUUUCAAGGAGAACUGCGUGCUGCAGGCAGGUGAGUGCUGCCAGGAUGAGAAAGUUUCUUGCAGUAUUCUUUUCCUCUUAAAUGCAGAAACUUCUGAAGGACGUUUUUUUCUGCAGAGCUCCCUGCUCAGAGAUCGGAAUUAAAUCCAGGAAAUAUAAAUAAAUAAAGCCAAAAGAUCAUCCCCACCAGAAAGAAAUGAAAACAAAGGCGUUCUAUAGCCACGGAAAAUGCAAAAGACUGAAAUAAUUCCUCACUGCUGUGGAUGCCAGGUCGUGCUGCAAGGGGAUGGAUUUGGCUCUGAACCCGAACUGCCAGCACACAGCCUCCUGGGGCCUGGGGCUGUUGCAGUGGUUCAGUGCUGCUGCAAACCACUCCUGGGAACUGCGCUUUCCUCCGCUGAGUAACUCUGCAGCAGUGCAAUACUAUAUUUAAUCAAUUCAGGUGUCUUAAAAUACUUCCGUGCCCAGCAGGAACGUCACUGCACAGACCCAGAGAUCAAACAAAUGUGUGCUCGGUGCCCAUUCAGAAAGCUGACAUUCUUUUAGGACAACAGAAGGCAGGGAGCAGAAAGAAGAGAAAAGAAUGAGCAUAUUGCAUCAGGCUCUUCCAUUCUGGGAGGUGAUAAAACUCUGGGGAACAUUUUUUUCCCCCUUUUUAUUUAUUUUUUCUUGAUGCUCUUCAUCUCUAUUUCAAUUUUGGCAAACAACAGUCUUAGAUGUAGCAGUAACUUUAAGUGACCUCAUGUUUGUCUCAGAAAGACAAUAGAGCAAUAAAAUCAGUGAAUGCAGAAGUUUUAUGGGUAUCACAUCAACAAUUUCCUUCAUUUCUCAUGGUGCAAUUGAGAUUGAGAACUUUCCCAUAAAUGAGAUACACUUAGUGAAGCGAGACACAUCCUUGCAAGAAUCCCAUCACAAUACUAAUAUUUAAAAAAUGUAGAUCUUCAACCUAAAGUGGAGCACCUCCAGCUGGCUCAACGUUUUGCUUUCUACUUGUGAACAGAUGCUCUCAAGACUGGGCUGGCUGGAGCCCUGUGCAGCUGGGUCUGGUGGGGGCAGCCCUGCACAUGGCAGUGGGGUUGGAACUGGAUGGGCUUGAAUGUCCCUUCCACCCUAACCACUCUGUGAUUCUAUUACAGCAGUACCUUGGUGAUAGUGACCACUAUAAAGUCAUAGCUAACAGCUAACCAAGUUUUGAAAUACAUAACUUUACAUGAAGAUGAUAUUGGAAAGGGAUUCCUUUUGAUAAUCCCACUGAACAGGGAAGAUGGUACUUUCAGCAUCCUGAUAACACCUAAAUAGCAGAAUCUCCCAAACAGGACCUCCACAGCAGCAUCUGAAACAAUCUCAAAGCAUUUUUUUUUUGUAUUGUUAUAAUAAUACUUUCAGUAUAAUAUUUCUGAACAUUAAAAAAGUAUCUUCUAAAGUAACCCCACUUCAGAGUAAUCACCGUUGUUUGCUGUAUAAAAGCACACUGCUGAGGAGCUCUUGGCCCAAGUGCCAUACGAGUAGUGGUAAUGAACAAGUCCUUGGCACUGCUGCAAGUGAAAAAUUAAAAGCUGGAAUACUGUAGUUAACGUUAUGAUUGUGAACUGAGCUGCCAUUAUUGUAGCUGCUAUAUGUUACUCAAAGGCAUGCAGGACAUCGAGGCACAUACUUUUAUUUCUGGCACAUGAAGUCAAAUGUCAUUCACAAAUUCCUCCCACACAUAUCUUCAGUGGAGGGGCAAUAAUUUGCACUAAUCCUUGGGAAACCCAAUCGGAGCUCAUUAAUUCUGCAAUUUAGCAAGGAGCGGGCAGCUUCAGCAUGAAAGAGCAGAAAUCCCUUGGAAUAACCUCACUACAGUUUGGUUUCAGGACACAAAAUGGUAUUGACCAACUUUUGCUGCUAGUGCUUAGCAGAAGAGUGAAACCUAAUUGAAUUAAGACACCAUAACAACAAACACUCCAACCAAAAACACAGUUUGUACGCUGGAUUUUCAGGACUGCACUCAGUCCAUCAUUUAAGGCAACGCUUGGCAUCACUGCAACUGUAGUCUGGGCUGCUGAAUCAGCCCUGCAUCCUGUGCUGUUACAGACCUUCUGCAUGGUUUGGGGCAGGUUAUUUCCCCCGCCAUCUCUUGCCUGUCUUAUCUGUUUAGGUCAGUAAAUCUCCAGGACAGAAUUUCUCACGCAAUGUGUCUGGCGGGUGAAAGCCCAACUGAAUUCUGGCUCAGCUGCAGCUCCCGUGCAUUGCUAUGGUACAGAUGAUAACGCUCCCUCUUAGCACAGGCGUGGAUGCAGCAGAACCAGAGGCUCGGUAAUGGGAUCUCCCUCUAAAGCAUCUGUUCUAAAACCUCAGAGAUGGGCGAGCUGCCAAUUUGUAAUUUAUUAAGAUUAGCAAGUAUGAAGUUUGGAAGAAUAUUUAUUAAUGAUGUUCUAUUGCAGAUCGAGGUCACGUUUAAGUGGGAUUAUGCAACUCCAUAGAUGCUGGGUUGAUGAGUUAUUGUGGUUUUUUUUUUUUGGUGAUGGCAGGAUUGUUUGGUAUUUUUUUUUUUUGUCUUCUUUUUCUUUUUCUCUGGAAAUCAGUGCAGACAAAGCUAUAUGCUUCAGGAUAGAAAGGUCAAGUUCAGCCCGUCCACUUUCCAGCCAGAAGCGGCGGCUGCUUGGGAACACAAAGUAUAGGAAAACAGAAACUGCAUCUCUAGCUGAUUCCAUUUUAAACAUCACCUGUAAAAUAAAACUCAAACCAAGAGCACAAAGCCUGGUUUGUCCGAGAAAACGUGACAGUCCCACAGAAGAAAGCAGCCCCUUCCUGGCCGACGGAUGUACCCUGAUGGAAACCACCCGAGCCGGCAAACACCGGGAUGCCUCACCGCGAAGGGAGGAAGGCGGGGAUGCCGGGGCACGGCUGGCGCCCGGUUAACGCAGCUCCCAGCUCUGCAGCAGCCGCGCUCCGCCCUGGCUGCCGGGGCAGCCCGCGGGCAGCUCCCAUCGCGAGCGCGUAGGGCCGUUCGUGGAGCUCUGAGUCACGCGAACCAAGCGCUCCGCUGAUGCAGCUAUUAGGAUGCCUGAUAAAUAUUUAUAGCCCCUCACCGCGGAGCUGAUUGACAGCACGGGGGCAAUCCCUACCGGCAGCCGCAGGCAGCCGCCUCGGGGACGGGAG
Molecule: long non-coding RNA, 26018 nt
Filed under: Gallus gallus (chicken)
Lineage: Eukaryota; Metazoa; Chordata; Aves; Galliformes; Phasianidae
Description: lncRNA (ENSGALG00010006605.1)
Source: RNAcentral